CGAAUAGCGAAAUGAAGAGAGCUAUCCGUCGACAGUCCAGUUUAAUACAUCCGAAUUGUAAUACUGUCAUGGAAUUGCUCUCUUUGUAUAAUAUUCG
Molecule: microRNA precursor, 97 nt
Filed under: Drosophila willistoni
Lineage: Eukaryota; Metazoa; Arthropoda; Insecta; Diptera; Drosophilidae
Description: microRNA dwi-mir-281 precursor (dwi-mir-281-2)
Gene: dwi-mir-281-2
Rfam family: mir-46/mir-47/mir-281 microRNA precursor family
About the family: The hairpin precursors (represented here) are predicted based on base pairing and cross-species conservation -- their extents are not known. In this case the mature sequences are expressed from the 3' arms of the hairpin precursors.
Source: miRBase by way of RNAcentral